This 256-nucleotide ribosomal RNA is filed under the name uncultured bacterium. RNAcentral's name for it is "partial small subunit ribosomal RNA". It matches the Rfam family "Bacterial small subunit ribosomal RNA", at positions 26 to 285 of the family's 1533-position model. The record is from RNAcentral.
AGGACGAACGCUGGCGGCGUGCUUAACACAUGCAAGUCGAGCGGAAAGGCCCUUCGGGGUACUCGAGCGGCGAACGGGUGAGUAACACGUGAGCAACCUGCCCUUAGCUCCGGGAUAGCUCCGGGAAACCGGAAUUAAAUACCGGAUAUGACCUAGGCCGACAUCGGCUGUGGUGGAAAGUUUUUCGGCUAGGGAUGAACUCGCGGCCUAUCAGCUUGUUGGUGAGGUAACGGCUCACCAAAGGCGACGACGGGUA